UACGAAGGGGGCUAGCGUUGCUCGGAAUCACUGGGCGUAAAGGGUGCGUAGGCGGGUUUUUAAGUCAGGGGUGAAAUCCCAGAGCUCAACUCUGGAACUGCCUUUGAUACUGGGUGUCUUGAGUAUGGAAGAGGUGAGUGGAAUUCCGAGUGUAGAGGUGAAAUUCGUAGAUAUUCGGAGGAACACCAGUGGCGAAGGCGGCUCACGGGCCCGGUACUGACGCUGAGGUGCGAAAGCGUGGGGAGCAAACAGG
RNAcentral lists this ribosomal RNA (253 nucleotides) under uncultured bacterium. Its description in RNAcentral is "partial 16S ribosomal RNA". It matches the Rfam family "Bacterial small subunit ribosomal RNA", at positions 524 to 776 of the family's 1533-position model. The record is from RNAcentral.